AUGCGGGCAGAACUGAUCAAGGAGGAGGAGGAGGAGGAGAAGAACCUUAACAUUGCUCGCGAGACGAGGGAGUUAAAUGCGGGGGCAGGACGCGAGCGAACGGUUGCAUUGAUUCAUGGCGAGAGACAGAAAAAUCGGGCCAAGAACAGUGGAGCACGUCAUGGAGCGUGCUGCUACAGUCCUGCUGCAUGGAUCAUGGCGCUCAUUUUUUUUUCCUCGGAUCAAUGGAGGGGAUGGGAAGCAUUGGUCUGUGCAAAAUUAAGCUACCCCGUGCCCGAACAAAUGCCCGAAGUGAGUGAGGAGGCGGGGAGGAAAAUGGCUAAGCAAAGAACGGAAUGCAACAGUUGUCUAUCUUCUUUAGGUGUGGCAAUGGCACGCAGGUGGUAG
Molecule: ribosomal RNA, 387 nt
Filed under: Triticum aestivum (bread wheat)
Lineage: Eukaryota; Viridiplantae; Streptophyta; Magnoliopsida; Poales; Poaceae
Description: partial small subunit ribosomal RNA
Source: RNAcentral